This 87-nucleotide small nucleolar RNA is filed under the name Naumovozyma dairenensis CBS 421. RNAcentral's name for it is "Small nucleolar RNA snR54". It matches the Rfam family "Small nucleolar RNA snR54". Rfam says of the family: snR54 is a member of the C/D class of snoRNA which contain the C (UGAUGA) and D (CUGA) box motifs. Most of the members of the box C/D family function in directing site-specific 2'-O-methylation of substrate RNAs. The record is from Rfam by way of RNAcentral. Lineage: Eukaryota; Fungi; Ascomycota; Saccharomycetes; Saccharomycetales; Saccharomycetaceae.
UUUAAUGAUGAUUAAUCUUUUUUAUUUAAUAACUUUCGUUCUACUGACUGUGAUCAAACGAUCUUGUAGAUAACUUUUACUCUGAAA